Molecule: ribosomal RNA, 421 nt
Filed under: uncultured bacterium
Lineage: Bacteria
Description: bacterial SSU rRNA
Rfam family: Bacterial small subunit ribosomal RNA
Source: RNAcentral
UGGGGAAUAUUGCGCAAUGGGCGAAAGCCUGACGCAGCCACGCCGCGUGAGCGAUGAAGGUCUUAGGAUCGUAAAGCUCUGUGGAGGGAGAAGAAGAAAGCCGGUGAAGAGCCGGCCUUGACGGUAUCCCUUUAGCAAGCACCGGCUAACUCCGUGCCAGCAGCCGCGGUAAUACGGAGGGUGCAAACGUUGCUCGGAAUCAUUGGGCGUAAAGCGCACGUAGGCGGCGAAGCAAGUUGGAUGUGAAAGCCCUGGGCUCAACCUAGGAUGUGCAUACAAAACUGCUUCGCUUGAAUCUCGGAGGGGGACAGGGAAUUCCCGGUGUAGAGGUGAAAUUCGUAGAUAUCGGGAGGAACACCAGUGGCGAAGGCGCUGUCCUGGACGAUGAUUGACGCUGAGGCGCGAAAGCGUGGGGAGCAAA